UAAUAGCCCUGAUGGAAAUGAAAAUAAUAAAGCCGCGUUGUUCGCGGCUUCAUUAUUGUAAUGAACAGCAGGAAAAUGG
RNAcentral lists this small RNA (79 nucleotides) under Flavobacterium aquatile LMG 4008 = ATCC 11947. RNAcentral describes it as "Flavobacterium aquatile LMG 4008 Flavo-1 RNA". It matches the Rfam family "Flavo-1 RNA". Lineage: Bacteria; Pseudomonadati; Bacteroidota; Flavobacteriia; Flavobacteriales; Flavobacteriaceae. The record is from Rfam by way of RNAcentral.